UACGUAGGGUGCGAGCGUUUAAUCGGAAUUACUGGGCGUAAAGAGUGCGUAGGCGGUUCGUUAUGUCUGCUGUGAAAGCCCCGGGCUUAACCCGGGAAUGGCAGUGGAAACUGGCGGGCUUGAGUGUGGCAGAGGGGGGUGGAAUUCCGCGUGUAGCAGUGAAAUGCGUAGAGAUGCGGAGGAACACCGAUGGCGAAGGCAGCCCCCUGGGCUAACACUGACGCUGAGGCACGAAAGCCGUGGGGAGCAAACAGG
This 255-nucleotide ribosomal RNA is filed under the name uncultured bacterium. Its description in RNAcentral is "partial 16S ribosomal RNA". It matches the Rfam family "Bacterial small subunit ribosomal RNA", at positions 524 to 776 of the family's 1533-position model. The record is from RNAcentral.